RNAcentral lists this ribosomal RNA (468 nucleotides) under uncultured bacterium. RNAcentral's name for it is "partial 16S ribosomal RNA". It matches the Rfam family "Bacterial small subunit ribosomal RNA", at positions 28 to 507 of the family's 1533-position model. The record is from RNAcentral.
GGCGAACGCUGGCGGUGUGCUUAACACAUGCAAGUCGAACGGAAAGGCCCUGCUUUUGUGGGGUGCUCGAGUGGCGAACGGGUGAGUAACACGUGAGUAACCUGCCCUUGACUUUGGGAUAACUUCAGGAAACUGGGGCUAAUACCGGAUAGGAGCUCCUGCUGCAUGGUGGGGGUUGGAAAGUUUCGGCGGUUGGGGAUGGACUCGCGGCUUAUCAGCUUGUUGGUGGGGUAGUGGCUUACCAAGGCUUUGACGGGUAGCCGGCCUGAGAGGGUGACCGGCCACAUUGGGACUGAGAUACGGCCCAGACUCCUACGGGAGGCAGCAGUGGGGAAUAUUGCACAAUGGGCGGAAGCCUGAUGCAGCAACGCCGCGUGCGGGAUGACGGCCUUCGGGUUGUAAACCGCUUUCGCCUGUGACGAAGCGUGAGUGACGGUAAUGGGUAAAGAAGCACCGGCUAACUACGUG